Molecule: ribosomal RNA, 547 nt
Filed under: uncultured bacterium
Lineage: Bacteria
Description: bacterial SSU rRNA
Rfam family: Bacterial small subunit ribosomal RNA
Source: RNAcentral
UGGGGAAUAUUGCGCAAUGGGGGGAACCCUGACGCAGCCAUGCCGCGUGAAUGAAGAAGGCCUUAGGGUUGUAAAGUUCUUUCGGUAUUGAGGAAGGUUGAUGUGUUAAUAGCACAUCAAAUUGACGUUAAAUACAGAAGAAGCACCGGCUAACUCCGUGCCAGCAGCCGCGGUAAUACGGAGGGUGCGAGCGUUAAUCGGAAUAACUGGGCGUAAAGGGCACGCAGGCGGUUAUUUAAGUGAGGUGUGAAAGCCCCGGGCUUAACCUGGGAAUUGCAUUUCAGACUGGGUAACUAGAGUACUUUAGGGAGGGGUAGAAUUCCACGUGUAGCGGUGAAAUGCGUAGAGAUGUGGAGGAAUACCGAAGGCGAAGGCAGCCCCUUGGGAAUGUACUGACGCUCAUGUGCGAAAGCGUGGGGAGCAAACAGGGUUAGAUACCCUGGUAGUCCACGCUGUAAACGCUGUCGAUUUGGGGGUUGGGGUUUAACUCUGGCGCCCGUAGCUAACGUGAUAAAUCGACCGCCUGGGGAGUACGGCCGCAAGGUUA